Molecule: ribosomal RNA, 446 nt
Filed under: uncultured bacterium
Lineage: Bacteria
Description: bacterial SSU rRNA
Rfam family: Bacterial small subunit ribosomal RNA
Source: RNAcentral
CCCAGACUCCUACGGGAGGCAGCAGUGGGGGAUAUUGCACAAUGGGGGGAACCCUGAUGCAGCGACGCCGCGUGGGUGAAGGAGUGCUUCGGCAUGUAAAGCCCUAUCGGCAGGGAAGAAGCAAGACGGUACCUGACUAAGAAGCCCCGGCUAACUACGUGCCAGCAGCCGCGGUAAUAAGGAGGAUGCGAGCGUUAUCCGGAUUUAUUGGGUUUAAAGGGUGCGUAGGCGGAACAUUAAGUCAGCGGUAAAAUCGAGGGGCUCAACCCCUUUAAGCCGUUGAAACUGGUGAUCUUGAGUGGGCGAGAAGUAUGCGGAAUGCGUGGUGUAGCGGUGAAAUGCAUAGAUAUCACGCAGAACUCCGAUUGCGAAGGCAGCAUACCGGCUCCCGACUGACGCUGAGGCACGAAAGCGUGGGGAUCGAACAGGAUUAGAUACCCCCGUAU